GGUAAGUUUGACCACCUAUCUAAACAAAAGAAGAGGAUAUAUAGAGCUGCUUGUUAUAGGCUUAGUAGCUCAGUUGCAUACUCUCUCAGUGAUAGCACCGUUUGACUUUGCUGAAGCCGAAUAUACAAAGGAAGAAAGAAAACCAAGCUAUAACCAUUCAUCAACACCAUGAAUUUCAAGUUCCUUUUGCUACUUUGUUUGAUCUUUGUGAUCUUGAUGCCCGACGCCGAGGGCUGGAGACGACGACGACGUCGCCGCAAAAGCCCAACCGGUUGCCACAAGUCUUGUCAUAAGUAUUGCGGCAUGAGAUGUAAUCCUUCCUGUCACUUUACUUGCUGGAAGCGAUGUUACUGGGUUAAUUGCCACGGAAAGCGCGAUGCGCCUGAAGAUGAGCCUGAAAUCCCGUACAAAGAUCUUGCACCAAGUAAAGAAUGAUAGGAAUCAUAGAAGUUCAGAUUAUUAAGGAUUAUCAAGGAAUACCAAUAAUCUUUUAGUAUGCACUGAAUGAAAUAUGUAACUUAAGAGUAAAUUGCAGUAAACAAUGAAACAUUCACUUGAAA
This is a long non-coding RNA of Actinia tenebrosa (Australian red waratah sea anemone), 560 nucleotides long. RefSeq lists it as uncharacterized. The record is from RefSeq and is a predicted model, not a curated record. NCBI's taxonomy places the organism in Eukaryota, Metazoa, Cnidaria, Anthozoa, Actiniaria, Actiniidae.